GACAGAGGGUGCAAACGUUGCUCGGAAUCACUGGGCGUAAAGGGCGUGUAGGCGGGUAGAUAAGUCGGGCGUGAAAUCCCUAGGCUCAACCUAGGAACUGCACUCGAAACUGUUUAUCUUGAGUGCCGGAGAGGAAAGCGGAAUUCCUGGUGUAGAGGUGAAAUUCGUAGAUAUCAGGAGGAACACCAGUGGCGGAAGGGCGGCUUUC
RNAcentral lists this ribosomal RNA (208 nucleotides) under uncultured bacterium. Its description in RNAcentral is "partial 16S ribosomal RNA". It matches the Rfam family "Bacterial small subunit ribosomal RNA", at positions 524 to 729 of the family's 1533-position model. The record is from RNAcentral.